GCGGAUGAGUGGAGCUUGCUCCAUGAUUCAGCGGCGGACGGGUGAGUAAUGCCUAGGAAUCUGCCUGGUAGUGGGGGAUAACGUUUCGAAAGGAACGCUAAUACCGCAUACGUCCUACGGGAGAAAGUGGGGGAUCUUCGGACCUCACGCUAUCAGAUGAGCCUAGGUCGGAUUAGCUAGUUGGUGGGGUAAUGGCCCACCAAGGCGACGAUCCGUAACUGGUCUGAGAGGAUGAUCAGUCACACUGGAACUGAGACACGGUCCAGACUCCUACGGGAGGCAGCAGUGGGGAAUAUUGGACAAUGGGCGAAAGCCUGAUCCAGCCAUGCCGCGUGUGUGAAGAAGGUCUUCGGAUUGUAAAGCACUUUAAGUUGGGAGGAAGGGCAGUAAGUUAAUACCUUGCUGUUUUGACGUUACCAACAGAAUAAGCACCGGCUAACUUCGUGCCAGCAGCCGCGGUAAUACGAAGGGUGCAAGCGUUAAUCGGAAUUACUGGGCGUAAAGCGCGCGUAGGUGGUUCAGCAAGUUGGAUGUGAAAGCCCCGGGCUCAACCUGGGAAUUGCAUCCAAAACUACUGAGCUAGAGUACGGUAGAGGGUGGUGGAAUUUCCUGUGUAGCGGUGAAAUGCGUAGAUAUAGGAAGGAACACCAGUGGCGAAGGCGACCACCUGGACUGAUACUGACACUGAGGUGCGAAAAGCGUGGGGAGCAA
RNAcentral lists this ribosomal RNA (711 nucleotides) under Pseudomonas sp. DWSR58. RNAcentral's name for it is "bacterial SSU rRNA". It matches the Rfam family "Bacterial small subunit ribosomal RNA", at positions 66 to 771 of the family's 1533-position model. Lineage: Bacteria; Pseudomonadati; Pseudomonadota; Gammaproteobacteria; Pseudomonadales; Pseudomonadaceae. The record is from RNAcentral.